AGAGUUGAUCAUGGCUCAGGAUGAACGCUAGCUACAGGCUAACACAUGCAAGUCGAGGGGCAGCAUGAUCGAAGCUUGCUUUGAUGAUGGCGACCGGCGCACGGGUGAGUAACGCGUAUCCAACCUUCCCUAUAGUAGAGAAUAGCCCGGCGAAAGUCGGAUUAAUGCUCUAUGUUGUAUUUAGAAGACAUCUGAAGAAUACCAAAGGUUUACCGCUAUAGGAUGGGGAUGCGUCUGAUUAGGUAGUAGGCGGGGUAACGGCCCACCUAGCCGACGAUCAGUAGGGGUUCUGAGAGGAAGGUCCCCCACAUUGGAACUGAGACACGGUCCAAACUCCUACGGGAGGCAGCAGUGAGGAAUAUUGGUCAAUGGACGGAGGUCUGAACCAGCCAAGUAAGCGUGCAGGAUGACGGCCCUAUGGGUUGUAAACUGCUUUUAUAUAGGGAUAAAGUCGGGGACGUGUCCCCGUUUGUAGGUACUAUAUGAAUAAGGACCGGCUAAUUCCGUGCCAGCCGCCGC
RNAcentral lists this ribosomal RNA (519 nucleotides) under uncultured bacterium. Its description in RNAcentral is "bacterial SSU rRNA". It matches the Rfam family "Bacterial small subunit ribosomal RNA", at positions 8 to 518 of the family's 1533-position model. The record is from RNAcentral.